Long non-coding RNA from Leopardus geoffroyi (Geoffroy's cat), 560 nucleotides. RefSeq lists it as uncharacterized. The transcript has 2 exons. The record is from RefSeq and is a predicted model, not a curated record. Lineage: Eukaryota; Metazoa; Chordata; Mammalia; Carnivora; Felidae.
AAUUGCGGAGAGGGGGGAAGGCCUCUGCGGGUGUGGCUUCUAGAUAGCCAGCUUCUGGCUCCUUAAACUCUACUCACGCGUGUACAAAGUCUAUACACUCAGUAACUUCAAAACUCUCGCCUGUAAUGUUUAGCGCCUCGGAAGCGGCAGGACUUUUCCUAAGGAAACGGCAACCCUCCCCGCGCCUGGACGCGGAGGCAGAGCAGUGGUAGAAGCUGAGUUUGACGUCACCGGUGGUGGGAGGAGCCCGGCGAAGCUGAGCGCGACUUCCGGAAGAGGGGAGCGCCCAGUUGCCGGUAAGGAAGGGAGAUACAGCACGUGACUCUUGACGCACGAAGGCCGGCGGGGCGGGAAGCGCGGUUGGUUCCUGCGCUAGGCGGCUCGUCCCAGCUCCUGGCGGCGACUGAGCCCCGUCAAUAGUAAGUUACCAGCAAAAUGUCUCGUUAACACCAGUCUGACAAUUCUAAGACAAGAUUGAACUGAAAUAUUGCUUUGGUUUCAUCUGAAAUUUUGAGUACCUAAAUGAACAUGUUUGCAAAAUUAUUAAAUAUGAAAAUGGA